UUCUUUAGGGAUGGUUAAGAAUUUGACACUGUAGGUUGGGGAUUAAGUUGUGAAAAUAAGAUUGUUUUGGUUUUAGGGAAUUAAUUGAAUAAAAUGCAAAAGUUUAGGGUAAUUGUGUAAAAUGUCAAUAAGAAGUCAUAUGCAUCAAAUGAAUUGUUAAAAAGUAUUUGGCACUGAUAGUUGAAAUAAAAUUACUGUAUAUAUCAAGAACCAGUAGAUAAUCGUGGAAAACAGAAAAUUGUUGAUUAGUCCCUAAUAUUGCCAUAGUUGUUGUUUAGCCCUGGUAAGUUCAUAUGGUAUUAUUUUGUGUAUUUUUGUAAUAUCAUUAUUGAAAUUUUUUAAUAUGAUGACAUGGGUUAUAAACUAAAAUGUUAUGAUUGAAUUGGUGAGAAAAUGGAUUGAAAUGUAAAUUGUUAUAUGGUUACGUGUAUUGAGCCGAAAUGAACAUAGGAUAGGAUACAAUUAACAUGCCAAUAAAUUAUUUUGUGUACUGAAUGAGAUUGACUUUUGAUGAGAUGAUGAUUCAUGACUUGUUAUUGUACACUGAUUAUAUCGGAGUCUGACAUUUGUUGUGGAUUAUCGAGUUAUAUUUACAGUGAUUCUAGUGUGUUAUUGGAGGCGAAUGUAAAGCCUACGAGCUUGGCACUUGGUGCCCAAACGUGUUCUUGGUUGGAUUGGCUUGGUUGAGCAUUUUGGCAUGUCCUGGGUGGAUAACUACGUAUCCAUAUCUAUAUUCAUCCGUUCAUCGGUCUGAAUUUCAAUAGUUAAAUGACAUGUUGAUGAUAUAUAUUUGACAUUUGGUUAUGAUGCCUUGUGGAUGACUUGUAUAAAUUUUCAUGAUUUUCAAUAUUAUAUCAUGAGUUGAUAAUGAUUGAUAUCGUACAAAUGAGAUGAUUAAAUGACUUGUAUAUAUGAAACUCACCUAUUGAAUGCUUGUGGUUGACAGGGUUAAUGUUAGUUAAUGAGUUUGUUAGUUAUUAAACUAUGUUUUCAAGGUAAGUUAUAUAGUUUUAAGCUAUGAACUUACUAAGCUCAUUGAAGCUUACUCAUGUCAUUUUUCCUGUUUCCUUGUAGAUAUUAUUUUGUGAAACCGGGUAAUCGGAUCAAGUUGAAGAUCACAUUAUCCAACUAUCUUUCAGUAGACUUUGAAACAUUUAUUUUAAGAUAUGUGGCAAGUAAUAGGAGUAUAUUGUAUUUGUUUAUAAGUAUUCUUUAUA
This 1217-nucleotide long non-coding RNA is filed under the name Gossypium raimondii (Peruvian cotton). Its description in RNAcentral is "long non-coding RNA (GRAI_LNC009932)". The record is from RNAcentral. Lineage: Eukaryota; Viridiplantae; Streptophyta; Magnoliopsida; Malvales; Malvaceae.